UUUGAAAUUAGGGUUUGCUAAUUAAUUAAGCGUUACCCUAAUUAAUAUUAUAAUAAUAGCAGUAGAGCAUUAUAAUUCUCCAUUAAUUUCCCAGAUUAGGGCUUCAAUUUAUCAGAAUCUGAAACUAGGGUUUUCAGAUCAAGUAUUAGGGUUUCAGAUUUGGAAUUAGGGUUUUGUAAUCAAUUAGUUAAGAUUAACCCUAAUUAAUCUUAUAAGUAUUUACACUUAUGCCAUUAAGUUCCCGAUUUAGGGUUUCAUGCACCGAAUUAGGGUUUCGG
RNAcentral lists this long non-coding RNA (278 nucleotides) under Panax ginseng (ginseng). RNAcentral describes it as "long non-coding RNA (PGIN_LNC018625)". Lineage: Eukaryota; Viridiplantae; Streptophyta; Magnoliopsida; Apiales; Araliaceae. The record is from RNAcentral.